UAUAUUCUCUCUCCUCUCGACCAAAAAUGACCCAAAUCUCUUUCCUCUGGCUGCUCUGAAACUUCUCUCUCCUCUCACUAUACAAAAUGAAGCUCAUCUCUCCUCUCGUUGCUAUCUUUUAAAGUUUCUCUCUCCCACACAAGGCAUCUGCAGAUCCCACACAAGGCAUCCACAGAUCUCGCACAGAAGGGUUCCCCCUGUCAAGGUAUGGACUCUCUCUCUCUCU
RNAcentral lists this long non-coding RNA (226 nucleotides) under Amborella trichopoda. RNAcentral's name for it is "long non-coding RNA (ATRI_LNC001407)". The record is from RNAcentral. Lineage: Eukaryota; Viridiplantae; Streptophyta; Magnoliopsida; Amborellales; Amborellaceae.